GGAGGGGUGUCCGAGCGGCUUAAGGAGUCAGUCUUGAAAACUGAUGUUUCCCCAGCGGAACCAAGGGUUCGAAUCCCUUCCCCUCCGCCA
RNAcentral lists this transfer RNA (90 nucleotides) under Oscillospiraceae bacterium. RNAcentral's name for it is "tRNA-Ser". It matches the Rfam family "tRNA". Rfam says of the family: Transfer RNA (tRNA) molecules are approximately 80 nucleotides in length. Their secondary structure includes four short double-helical elements and three loops (D, anti-codon, and T loops). Lineage: Bacteria; Bacillati; Bacillota; Clostridia; Eubacteriales; Oscillospiraceae. The record is from RNAcentral.